UACGGAGGGUGCAAGCGUUAUCCGGAUUCACUGGGGUUAAGGGGUGCGUAGGUGGGAAUGUAAGUCAGUGGUGAAAUCUCCGUGCUUAACACGGAAACUGCCAUUGAUACUAUGUUUCUUGAAUUUUCCGGAGGUCAGCGGAAUAUGUCAUGUAGCGGUGAAAUGCUUAGAUAUGACAUAGAACACCAAUUGCGAAGGCAGCUGACUACAGGGACAUUGACACUGAGGCACGAAAGCGUGGGGAUCAAACAGG
Molecule: ribosomal RNA, 253 nt
Filed under: uncultured bacterium
Lineage: Bacteria
Description: partial 16S ribosomal RNA
Rfam family: Bacterial small subunit ribosomal RNA
Source: RNAcentral